Molecule: ribosomal RNA, 449 nt
Filed under: uncultured bacterium
Lineage: Bacteria
Description: partial 16S ribosomal RNA
Rfam family: Bacterial small subunit ribosomal RNA
Source: RNAcentral
CGCCAGACUCCUACGGGAGGCAGCAGUGGGGGAUAUUGCACAAUGGGGGGAACCCUGAUGCAGCGACGCCGCGUGGGUGAAGGAGCGUUUCGGCGCGUAAAGCCCUAUCGGCAGGGAAGAAGGAGGACGGUACCUGACUAAGAAGCCCCGGCUAACUACGUGCCAGCAGCCGCGGUAAUACGUAGGGGGCAAGCGUUAUCCGGAUUUACUGGGUGUAAAGGGAGCGUAGACGGUUGUGCAAGUCUGAAGUGAAAGCCCGCGGCUCAACUGCGGAACGGCUUUGGAAACUGUGUAACUGGAGUGCUGGAGAGGUAAGCGGAAUUCCUGGUGUAGCGGUGAAAUGCGUAGAGAUCAGGAGGAACACCGGCGGCGAAGGCGGCUUACUGGACAGUAACUGACGUUGAGGCUCGAAAGCGUGGGGAGCAAACAGGAUUAGAUACCCCCGUACU